AGGUAGGUCCCUAAAGGUUGGGGAAGUUAGCCGAUAACUAACUUUUUACUAGUUCGAAUCUAGUCCUACCUU
RNAcentral lists this transfer RNA (72 nucleotides) under Ophiura luetkenii. RNAcentral's name for it is "tRNA-Ile". Lineage: Eukaryota; Metazoa; Echinodermata; Ophiuroidea; Amphilepidida; Ophiuridae. The record is from RNAcentral.